This 413-nucleotide ribosomal RNA is filed under the name Libellula quadrimaculata. RNAcentral describes it as "partial 16S ribosomal RNA". Lineage: Eukaryota; Metazoa; Arthropoda; Insecta; Odonata; Libellulidae. The record is from RNAcentral.
UUACGCUGUUAUCCCUAAGGUAACUUAGUCUAAUAAUCAAUAAUAAUGGAUCUAAUAUUCAUAAAUCAAUGUUAUGUAAAUAAAAAAGUUAAAUAUAUAUUUUUGUCACCCCAACAGAACACAAAAAAACCUAAAAAUAUUGAUAUAUAAAUAUUUAAAUAAUUUCAUGAAAAGAUCUAUAGGGUCUUCUCGUCUUCCAAUAGAAUUUUAGCUUUUUAACUAAAAAAUUAAAUUUUAAAACAAAUAAAAUGAGACAGUUAGUUCCUCGUUAAACCUUUCAUUCCAGCCCUCUAUUAAAAGACUAAUGAUUAUGCUACCUUUGCACGGUCAGUAUACCGCGGCCGUUGAACUCCUCACUGGGCAGGUCAGACCUUCAAUUAAAUUCAAAAGGACAUGUUUUUGUUAAACAGGCG